RNAcentral lists this ribosomal RNA (275 nucleotides) under uncultured bacterium. Its description in RNAcentral is "partial 16S ribosomal RNA". It matches the Rfam family "Bacterial small subunit ribosomal RNA", at positions 523 to 796 of the family's 1533-position model. The record is from RNAcentral.
AGACGGAGGGCGCAAGCGUUGUUCGGAAUUACUGGGCGUAAAGGGCAGGUAGGUGGCCUGUUAAGUCUUCUGUGAAAAUCCGGAGCUCAACUCCGUGAAAUGCAGGGGAAACUGGCAGGCUUGAGACCGGUAGAGGCUAGCGGAAUUCCUGGUGUAGCGGUGGAAUGCGUAGAUAUCAGGAAGAACACCUGUGGCGAAGGCGGCUAGCUGGGCCGGUUCUGACACUGAACUGCGAAAGCGUGGGGAGCAAACAGGAUUAGAAACCCGAGUAGUCC